UACGAGUGCCCCAAGCGUUAUCCGGAAUCCUUGGGCGUAAAGGGUGUGUAGGUGGUUAUAUUAGUCUUUUGUAAAAUCUCCAGGCUUUACCUGGAAACCGCGAAAGAAACGGUAUGACUAGAGGGUGCGAGGGGUCUGUGGAACGCAUGGAGUAGGGGUGAAAUCCGUUGAUAUCAUGGGGAACACCAAAAGCGAAGGCAACAGACGGGCGCAUUCCUGACACUGAAACACGAAAGCGUGGGUAGCGAAUGGG
RNAcentral lists this ribosomal RNA (253 nucleotides) under uncultured bacterium. Its description in RNAcentral is "partial 16S ribosomal RNA". It matches the Rfam family "Bacterial small subunit ribosomal RNA", at positions 524 to 776 of the family's 1533-position model. The record is from RNAcentral.